RNAcentral lists this ribosomal RNA (431 nucleotides) under Speleomantes ambrosii bianchii. RNAcentral's name for it is "Hydromantes ambrosii bianchii partial 16S ribosomal RNA". It matches the Rfam family "Bacterial large subunit ribosomal RNA", at positions 1993 to 2611 of the family's 2925-position model. The record is from RNAcentral. Lineage: Eukaryota; Metazoa; Chordata; Amphibia; Caudata; Plethodontidae.
UGAAUGGCAAAACGAAAGCUUGACUGUCUCCUUAGAUUAAUCAAUGAAAUUGAUCUUUCCGUGCAGAAGCGGAAAUAUCUUUAUAAGACAAAAAGACCCCAUGGAGCUUCAAAUCUAAAUUAAUCAUAUCUACUAAAAAUAUAAUAAACAACUUAAUGUAAGAUUUUGGGUUGGGGCGACCGCGGAGUAAACUUUAACCUCCGAGACAAGUAAUUAAGAAAGACAUUUCAAAAUAAUAAGAUAACUAAUAUACUUGAUCCAAUAUUUGAUCAACGAACCAAGUUACCCUGGGGAUAACAGCGCAAUCCUUUUAGAGAGUCCAUAUCGACAAGGGGGUUUACGACCUCGAUGUUGGAUCAGGGCCCCCAAAUGGUGCAGCAACUAUUAAAGGUUCGUUUGUUCAACGAUUAAAGCCCUACGUGAUCUGAGUU